Molecule: long non-coding RNA, 1030 nt
Filed under: Homo sapiens (human)
Lineage: Eukaryota; Metazoa; Chordata; Mammalia; Primates; Hominidae
Description: non-protein coding lnc-ZW10-2:1
Source: RNAcentral
CCAUGUCUACCUGACUCCUCAAUCGGGAUUUGGUGGAACCUCCUCCCAAAAAGGCAUUAGAAAGAACUGCCAAGCACAAAAUUUUGUUAAGAAAUGGCAACUUUUGGAACAGAGAGGCUUUCUGAAUAAAAAGAACCAGCCCCCUAGCAAGACACCCAAGUUGCACUCAGAACCUCCAAAGAAAGAGGAAACUCCUAGGGUGCAUGGCACUUGGAAGACCCCUCCCUUCCCAGAAAAGAAGGCAGCUGCCUCCAGCAGUGUGUCAGAAGAGUCCCUGGACAGGAAAGCUGCGGUGUCAUGGCUGUCCCCUGCCCCUUCAAAGAAUGCUGAUUCUGUUGCAGCUAAGUAGAUUUGCUGGAGGUGCCCUUCUAAAGAUUAACAGCCACCCGACCCACUCCCAGAAGAAAGGCCUCCAGAACAAAUCCUCUCAGCUCAGCGCCCCACAGAACUCUACCCAAGCUCACUCAGAAUAAAUGCUUUGGAGCAUCCCAGAAGUUGCCAAGGAAGAAUAGUGGCAAUUGGCUGUGAGAUGCUGGACACAGGACCCAAGGGGCAUGUUACUUUCUUGGUUCCAUGUAGCACUGUCAGCUACAGCGGAGAUGUGCUUCAUAACGAGUACAUCCUUCCCCCUGGCCACACUGUGGACUGCCAGACCAGGUGGAGUGGUGUCCAGAAGCAGCACAUGGUGAAUGCCAUGCUCUUCAAGAUUGCUCAUGGCAUAUAUUGAAGAUACAGGGAAGAUGGUGGUGGACAUGCCAUCCACAAUGACUUCAAAGCCCCAGUACUUUCAUCCCAAGUCCCUCACCAGUGACAACUCCCAUAUCCCCCUUCUCCUCCCCAACUGGAAGGCUGAUUGCCCAGUGAACGUCACCAUGUCUUUGAAGCAUCUCAUCAAGAAUCUGCUGAAUUGGGACAUCUGGGUUGGGAAAAUAGGCAUUCCUCUGUGGAAGACACCCAGGCUACCAUGGAGCUAUACAAAUUGGUUGAACUCAAGUGGGAAGAACACCUUGCCCAGAAUUCCCCGAAAGAC